RNAcentral lists this long non-coding RNA (532 nucleotides) under Capsella grandiflora. RNAcentral's name for it is "long non-coding RNA (CGRA_LNC000189)". The record is from RNAcentral. Lineage: Eukaryota; Viridiplantae; Streptophyta; Magnoliopsida; Brassicales; Brassicaceae.
UGCAAUGAGAUAUAUUUGUAACAUAUGCAAUUUGUAAGGUGCUAAUCAUAAUAAGCUUAGAAUCACAUUCAUCUCACUAUACUGCAAAUUAAGAAGCAAUUUACUAUGCUUAUUCAGCAGAUAAGUACGUAUCAUGUUUGGUUCACUGUUGUUGAUUUACAUAAGAAGUCAUACAAGUGGUUCGGAUCAACUGCUAAUCAUAAUAAGUUUACUUUGUUGUUCAAUGUACUUUGAUUCGCUUUACCUCCACAUACAUGCAUGGCUCAGGAUGAAAGACCAAGCUCAUUUCUGUGGAUACCCUUUCGACUAUGCAGCACGAAGAAGUGUAAGUCGGAAAGUUUCAGUAUCAACUAUCAAAAUUCUUCUGAAACUAUAAUGAACUCCUGAGUUGAGUAUGUGAAUUACCUCUGAAUCUGAGUGGUUACAGCCUUACAGGUAUCUCAUCUCUAGCACCGACUUCGUCUGCUAAAUCGAUGCCAAGAGAACAAGGAAGAGGAAGAUACCACUGCUCCUCCUCCCAACCAAUUCACUC